UACGUAGGGGGCAAGCGUUGUCCGGAAUCAUUGGGCGUAAAGAGCGUGUAGGCGGCCCGAUAAGUCCGCCGUGAAAGUCCAGGGCUCAACCCUGGAAUGCCGGUGGAAACUGUCGGGCUGGAGUCCGGAAGAGGCGAGUGGAAUUCCUGGUGUAGGCGGUGAAAUGCGCAGAUAUCAGGAGGAACACCAAUGGCGAAGGCAGCUCGCUGGGACGGUACUGACGCUGGAGACGCGAAAGCGUGGGGGAGCAAACAGG
Molecule: ribosomal RNA, 256 nt
Filed under: uncultured bacterium
Lineage: Bacteria
Description: partial 16S ribosomal RNA
Rfam family: Bacterial small subunit ribosomal RNA
Source: RNAcentral